RNAcentral lists this ribosomal RNA (495 nucleotides) under uncultured bacterium. RNAcentral's name for it is "partial 16S ribosomal RNA". It matches the Rfam family "Bacterial small subunit ribosomal RNA", at positions 28 to 507 of the family's 1533-position model. The record is from RNAcentral.
GACGAACGCUGGCGGCGUGCCUAAUACAUGCAAGUAGAACGCUGAAGGAGGAGCUUGCUUCUCUGGAUGAGUUGCGAACGGGUGAGUAACGCGUAGGUAACCUGCCUGGUAGCGGGGGAUAACUAUUGGAAACGAUAGCUAAUACCGCAUAAUAGUAGAUGUUGCAUGACAUUUGCUAAAAAGGUGCAAUUGCAUCACUACCAGAUGGACCUGCGUUGUAUUAGCUAGUUGGUGAGGUAACGGCUCACCAAGGCAACGAUACAUAGCCGACCUGCGAGGGUGGACGGCCAACCUGGGACUGGGACACCGCCCAGACUCCCACGGGAGGCAGCAGUAGGGGAUCUUCGGACAUGGACGGAAGUCUGACCGAGCAACGCCGGGGUAGUGAAGAAGGUUCUCGGAUCGUAAAGCUCUGUUGUAAGAGAAGAACGCGUGUGAGAGUGGAAAGGUCACACUGUGACGGUAUCUUACCAGAAAGGGACGGCUAACUACGUG